RNAcentral lists this ribosomal RNA (497 nucleotides) under uncultured bacterium. Its description in RNAcentral is "partial 16S ribosomal RNA". It matches the Rfam family "Bacterial small subunit ribosomal RNA", at positions 28 to 507 of the family's 1533-position model. The record is from RNAcentral.
GAUGAACGCUGGCGGCGUGCCUAAUACAUGCAAGUCGAGCGAACAGACGAGGCGCUUGCUCCUCUGACGUUAGCGGCGGACGGGUGAGUAACACGUGGAUAACCUACCUAUAAGACUGGGAUAACUUCGGGAAACCGGAGCUAAUACCGGAUAAUAUAUUGAACCGCAUGGUUCAAUAGUGAAAGACGGUUUUGCUGUCACUUAUAGAUGGAUCCGCGCCGCAUUAGCUAGUUGGUAAGGUAACGGCUUACCAAGGCGACGAUGCGUAGCCGACCUGAGAGGGUGAUCGGCCACACUGGAACUGAGACACGGUCCAGACGCCUACGGGAGGCAGCAGUAGGGAAUCUUCCGCAAUGGGCGAAAGCCUGACGGAGCAACGCCGCGUGAGUGAUGAAGGUCUUCGGAUCGUAAAACUCUGUUAUUAGGGAAGAACAAAUGUGUAAGUAACUAUGCACGUCUUGACGGUACCUAAUCAGAAAGCCACGGCUAACUACGUG